RNAcentral lists this long non-coding RNA (591 nucleotides) under Bos indicus x Bos taurus (hybrid cattle). Its description in RNAcentral is "lncRNA (ENSBIXG00005023731.1)". Lineage: Eukaryota; Metazoa; Chordata; Mammalia; Artiodactyla; Bovidae. The record is from RNAcentral.
AAAAUACAUACACUGUUUUUGUAUUCCUGGGUUGUGAAUUCUGUCUUUCAUCUGCUAAAGCCUGUAGGGGCCGCCUAUUCAGAGAGGGCUGCUGGAGGAAUUUGCAGGGGUGGGCUUCACUCCUGUGGUUUUACCCAGCUAUGCCUCAGAUUUCCUUAUUUCAAGCCAUCCUCUGUUGAAGAUAUGGAUGAUACAGUAAAACCAAAGGCCCUUGAGAGCAGAUUGCAUGAAUAUUUUACUGUAGCCACAAAGAACUCGCAUCAUCUCCUGGAAAGAAUCUCAGGUGAAGCAAAUGUAACGGACCAUUUGUCUAAACAGUGCUACGCUUGUGGACUUCAAGUGUGAAAACAGAUCCAAGACGCAAUCAUCCACCUCCAACAGAUUCAGGACGCAAUCAGCUACCUCCAUACUAGGGAGCAGGAUGGUGAGGGGACAGGUAUUUUGGGUGAUAUGACAACUAAUUGUAAUUAAUGUAAUUAAUUACAUGUAAUUGUAAAUGUAAAUUUACAUUUACAAUGGAUUGUUUGCAGGGUAGGUAUACAUUUUCAUGGUCCUGAUAAUUGACAAGACUCACGUGUCUGUAAAUACUGC